This 230-nucleotide ribosomal RNA is filed under the name uncultured bacterium. Its description in RNAcentral is "partial 16S ribosomal RNA". It matches the Rfam family "Bacterial small subunit ribosomal RNA", at positions 562 to 791 of the family's 1533-position model. The record is from RNAcentral.
AAAGGGUGCGUAGGCGGCCUGUUAAGUCAGGGGUGAAAGACGGUAGCUCAACUAUCGCAGUGCCCUUGAUACUGACGGGCUUGAAUGGACUAGAGGUAGGCGGAAUGUGACAAGUAGCGGUGAAAUGCAUAGAUAUGUCACAGAACACCGAUUGCGAAGGCAGCUUACUAUGGUUUUAUUGACGCUGAGGCACGAAAGCGUGGGGAUCAAACAGGAUUAGAUACCCCUGU